AGACCAGUGCGCCCCGCCCUCCCAGCGCCGGCGACCGCCGCAAGGGCCCCGCCCCGCCCGCCAGCCUAGCCCGCCCCUCCUUAUCUGGUCCUCGGUCCCGGGCCGGGAGGCGGCCAGCGGGCUGGGGCCACGCGAUGUCGCAUGGAUCGGGACUCGUCCGCACCACGUGCAGCAGCGGCAGCGCGCUGGGACCCGGGGUGGGCGCGAGCCAGCCCUCGGAGGGGCUGCUGGACUCCGUCUACCCCCGCACCCAGGGGGCCCUGCUCAAAGUGGCGCAGAUGGUCACCCUGCUGAUUGCCUUCAUCUGUGUGCGGAGUUCCACAUGGAUCGACUACAGUGCCUUCAGCUACUUUGAAGUGGUUACCAUUUGCGACUUAAUCAUGAUCCUGGCCUUUUACCUGGUCCACCUCUUCCGCUUCUACCGUGUGCUCACCUGCAUCAGCUGGCCGCUGUCGGAAUUUCUGCACUAUGUCAUCGGUACGCUGCUCCUCCUCAUCGCCUCCAUCGUGGCGGCCUCCAAGAGUUACAGCCACGGCGGACUGGUAGCCGGAGCGAUCUUCGGGUUCGUGGCCACCUUUCUCUGCUUGGCUAGCGUGUGGCUGUCCUACAAGAUCUCAUGUGUGACCCAGUCAACAGACGCAGCUGUUUGACAAGGCCACAGCCUCUGGAUGCCUCAAGAGGAUCUGCAGGACUUGGGCCUGGCAGACAGGAGGAUCAGUGCCCCCGGCACGGCUUCUGGACUCUGUUCCUAUGCCAAAGUCACAAGCAGGCUGGCAGGCACCAGGAAGGCCCACCUGGCCGCCUGCUUUCCCAAGACAACAGGUCUGAGCUCCUGGGCUGGCCAGAGUCUCUGUCUCCAGUCUUCCCUGGAGAACUUUCCUCCCCUUCUGGGAAAGGAAGCAGCUCCAAGGACAGUCUGUCUCUUCUGCCUGCUCUUAGCAGCACCUCAGGAUCUCACUAAAUUGCCAAGACGCACACUGCUGACCGGCCUGCCUCCGCCUCCCGAGUCGCUGGGAUCACAGGCGUGCUCCACUGCACCCAACCCAGGAUAUUUUUUAAAAAAGUGAUAUAAGACCUUCUGUCUAGGCAUCGCCAUGAUAAAGGGGGCAAAAGUUACAUCCAACUCAAAGCAGCAAACCACAGCAGCCCAACAGGAGCCAACACCACGCUCUAGGAGCUAAGCUUCUGGAGAACUCGAGCUGUCGGCGCCUUUGUGGUGUCAAUCAGGCCCUCUUGGAGCUGCUCCCUCUGGGGCCAUGCCCUGUGGAACACGAACUCUGUACCCAGCUCCCAGGCAGACCCUUGUGAGGACGUGAAAGGGAGGGCUGGCCCAUGGAAGAGGGGUAGGGAGCCAGGGGCCCGACGUCCCCAAGACCAGGAGCCCGCCCUGGCCUAUCAAGGCAGCCAGAGGUCCCAAGAAAGGGCGUUGGCCCCUGUGGCAACAAGAGGCACUGAGCCAUGCGGCCACGACUUGUCUGCCCACAUUCCCCAACCACGAGCAGCCAGUUCAGGCCAGCAGAGCCUCCCUGGGCCUGGCCUGGCUCACGGAAGAAAGGGAUGGGAGGUGGAGGGUGCCGUCACGGGCAAGCCUGUGCCACAGGUGUUUUCUCACCACCCGAAAGACUGACUGACAGAAAGGCUGCUGCUCAGGCAGAUGCUGGAACAUGGUGGCUGUGAUGCUCUCCAGGGAGGGAUGUGGCCUGUGGCAACAGAACCACCCCUGUCUUAGAGGGUCCUGUGAGGGAACCACCUACCCUGGAGGUGCUAGCAGUGGGGCAGAGAGCCCCAAAGAGAGCUGAAUGGAGGUGAGCAGGGUUUGAGCCCAGGUUUGGCUGUCUCCUGGGCCUGACCUGUGGCCAUCCUACUUAGGGCCUCUGAGGCACAAAGCAGGACUGGAGCCAGACUGUGCCAACUGGCUUCCUUCGUAACAGUGGCCCUAAGAGCCACAGACAGGCCCAAAGUAGAGGCGCACAGAGACCCAGAGCGCCCAGGCCUUUUUCCUAGCUUCAAAAGUAAACCUCUGUGGCCAUGGAAACAGAGCAGGUCUUUGGGGCCCCUCAGCAACCGCCACUUCCCCUCUUCUGAUGGUUUCUGUGCUGAAUCCUGUGAACUCUCAGAGGUGCUCCAGGGGACCCUCAGAAAUUGGAUCACAUGUGUGAAAUAUGCUAACAUCUGAAAGCACACACUCUCCAGUCGUCGAGAGCAAACACUGGCACUGGGAACCUCUUCCGCUAGGAAGACUCCCCUCGGACAGGCUCAGGGGACCCUGGCCUUACAGCUUCCUUAGAGUUGAAGACAAGGCCAAGAGUGUGAGGCCAACCACUGAAAACCCGCUGCUUCCUUUCGGGGGAGCCUGGAGUCCUCCAGGCCACUCAGCCAACAGCACUGGAAGGAUCCAGAGGCAGGCCACAGCUGCUCUACCACUCACUCCACUGUGGGCUUUUCACCAUGACUCACUCUUCUUAGGGACAGACUUUAUAAGAAGUAAAUUACAAAUAUGUUAAUAAUUUAUAUUCAUGCCAUGUUUUCUGUUUUAUAUAACAGAGUUUCAAGAAUGAUUUAUAUUGAAAAGAGGAUCAUCCCCCUGACAAAAUUUUUUUUUAAAGUUUGGAAAACCUCUGGAUUGUAGGGAGCUGUCAGGCUGCCACUUGACCCCAGGGUAGAUGGAGGUGUGCAGAACCCCAGAGGGGCAUUCUCAUGACGACCACCAGAGAACACCUGGUGCCUCCAGCCCUUGCAAGGAGAUUGAAACCGAGUGAUCGGUAGAGUUUUAUUGUCAUUUUCUACAUAUGUAGAAAACUAAAAGACAAACAAAAACCUCCACAUAAAGUUGUGCAAAAAAGGAAGAAUGCUGCCUGGCUCCGCUCUGAACAGAAUAAUUGUCACAUUGAAUACUGAUUUGACCUAAGCAAUGGCAGACUGCUCAGCAGGGCGUGGUGCAUGCAUGUGGUGGGGUGCACCUGGGAGAGCAGCCAGACUGACAGCUCGGUGUUGCCAGAUGCCCUAGUGACCCAGAGAAAUGGAAAUAUGGAUUUUCAGGCUAAAUAUCUUCUGAUUUGUAAAUGUUGUCAAAGAAACGUUUUAAAGAUACACUUCAGACCAAACAAAAGCCUAUCUGGGAAGCUAGAAGGAGCCAGCCGGCCAUCAGUUUGAGACCCUGACCUAGUGGAACCUGAAGCACCUGCCCUCAAAAACUAGGCAGUAUUGGGGGAGGUCGGGGAAGAGUGGCAGAAAGAAGUCAGGCUGAGGCCCAGAGGCCCGUAGAGGCCCGGCUGACUGCCAGCUGCUUCCUCCCGAAACCUGGGGGCAGCAAGGGGCACAGGCUCUCCCCGGGGAGCGCCCCUCCCCGCCCCCUGCCAACAGCUGCGCCUACUCGCUGCGCGGCCACACCUCCCACCUGGGCACAGCUCUUCGGUUGCAAAAACAAAACCCACCUCGCAGGUGGCAGCGCCAGGCGGUGCCACGCGCCCACGGCUAGCGGCGUGCGCCCUCUAGCGGCCAGAUGCGGGCACCGAGCCCCGGAUCUUGGUCUAGCAAAUGCCUCUGGAAAGUCAAGUUCCUGAUUCCAGGGUUCAGAUGAGAAGCACCAAUUUGUAUGUUUUAUGUGGACCUCGGGUGCACAAAUUAAUAAUCCUCGGGUCAUGCCAUUUUUACACUCUGAUUACUGGUCGAUGCAUGACCUCCUCGCUCUCUUCCGAUUAGUUUGUUAUAAUGUAGUCAACACUGAAGCAAGAAUCAUAACAAUUAACUGUAGCUAUAUGCUUCCCUAGUUCAUCACCCCCAACCCCGGCCAAUUUCUCCCCUCCCAAAUCUCCCCUUCAUCUGCUUCUGCUUCUUUUCUUCCUCCCCCACCCUCCCCAUAUUGGGUAUUGAACCAAUGGGACCCUCUACCACUGAGCUACGUCCCUAGCUCUUUUUAUUAUUAUUUUUAAAAUUUCAAGAUAGAGUUUUGCAGUUACUGAGGCUGACCUUGAACCUGCCAUCCUCCUGCCUCAGCCUCUUGAGUAGCUGGAAUUACAGGCUGCUUGCUCUUAUAGUUUCAUUGUAGUUCUAACAUCUAUUGCUUUUAAAGCAAUAUAAUUAGAGCUGGGAGCGGUGGUGCAUGCCUGUAAUCCCAAAGGCUCUGGAGGCUAAAGCAGGAGAAUCCAGAGUUCAAAACCAGCCUCAACAACUUAGAGGCCCCUCAGCAAUUCAGCAAUAUAAAAAAGGGCUGGGGAUGU
This is an RNA transcript of Sciurus carolinensis (gray squirrel), 4220 nucleotides long. It is a transcript of the gene named CKLF like MARVEL transmembrane domain containing 7, with no coding region annotated. The record is from RefSeq and is a predicted model, not a curated record. The transcript has 6 exons. Lineage: Eukaryota; Metazoa; Chordata; Mammalia; Rodentia; Sciuridae.